Long non-coding RNA from Telopea speciosissima, 155 nucleotides. RefSeq lists it as uncharacterized. The transcript is spliced from 3 exons. The record is from RefSeq and is a predicted model, not a curated record. NCBI's taxonomy places the organism in Eukaryota, Viridiplantae, Streptophyta, Magnoliopsida, Proteales, Proteaceae.
UCUCCUCUCCUUUCUCUUUCUCUCUUUGCUCUCUCAUUACAUUUCCUUUUUGCAGGUUUCUUAUCCUGCCUUUAAUGGUGAAAUGUAUUUUUCCCUUUCUUUUUGAUAGAUAAAAGCUGCCAGUGUUCAGAUCUAGUUUUCUUUCUUUGCUUCAG